This 50-nucleotide transfer RNA is filed under the name Entamoeba moshkovskii. Its description in RNAcentral is "tRNA-Ile". The record is from RNAcentral. Lineage: Eukaryota; Evosea; Mastigamoebida; Endamoebidae.
GCUCUCAUAGCUCAGUCGGUAGGGCAUGGUGCUAAUAACGCCAGGGUCGC